GUGGAUUAGAUACCCUGGUAGUCCGCACAGUAAACGAUGUGCACUAGGUGUUGGGCCGAGCGGUUCAGUGCCGAAGCUAACGUGAUAAGUGCACCGCCUGGGGAGUAUGCCCGCAAGGGUGAAACUCAAAGGAAUUGACGGGGGCCCGCACAAGCGGUGGAGCAUGUGGUUUAAUUCGAUGGUACGCGAGGAACCUUACCUGGGUUUGACAUCCUGAGGAAUACGGUAGAGAUAUCGUAGCGUAGCAAUACGUCGCAGGACAGGUGCUGCACGGUCGUCGCCAACU
RNAcentral lists this ribosomal RNA (286 nucleotides) under uncultured bacterium. RNAcentral describes it as "partial 16S ribosomal RNA". It matches the Rfam family "Bacterial small subunit ribosomal RNA", at positions 773 to 1060 of the family's 1533-position model. The record is from RNAcentral.